UUGUAGGGGCAUACACAGAACGAACGGGCA
RNAcentral lists this non-coding RNA (30 nucleotides) under Homo sapiens (human). The record is from RNAcentral. Lineage: Eukaryota; Metazoa; Chordata; Mammalia; Primates; Hominidae.